GCAAGUCGAACGGUAACAGAGAAGUGCUUGCACUUUUGCUGACGAGUGGCGGACGGGUGAGUAAUGCUUGGGAAUAUGCCUUAUGGUGGGGGACAACAGUUGGAAACGACUGCUAAUACCGCAUAAUAUCUUCGGAUCAAAGUGGGGGACCUUCGGGCCUUGCGCGUAAAGAUUAGCCCAAGUGGGAUUAGCUAGUUGGUAAGGUAAUGGCUUACCAAGGCGACGAUCCCUAGCUGGUCUUAGAGGAUGACC
RNAcentral lists this ribosomal RNA (252 nucleotides) under uncultured bacterium. RNAcentral describes it as "partial 16S ribosomal RNA". It matches the Rfam family "Bacterial small subunit ribosomal RNA", at positions 57 to 305 of the family's 1533-position model. The record is from RNAcentral.